UAGUCCACGCCGUAAACGAUGAGUGCUAGCUGCUGGAAAUGUCUACCGUUUCAGUGGCGAAGCUAACGCAUUAAGCACUCCGCCUGGGAAGUACGGCCGCAAGGCUAAAACUCAAAGGAAUUGACGGGGGCCCGCACAAGCGGUGGAGCAUGUGGUUUAACUCGAAGCAACGCGCAGAACCUUACCCAGGCGUGACAUCUCCAGAAGUUCGUGGAAACACGUUCGUGCCUUCUCACGAAGGAACUGGAUGACAGGUGCUGCAUGGCUGUCGUCAGCUCGUGCUGUGAGGUGUUCGGUUAAGUCCGGCAACGAGCGCAACCCCUGUCGUUAGUUACCAGCAUUCAGUUGGGUACUCUAGCGAGACUGCCGGUGAUAAACCGGAGGAAGGUGGGGAUGACGUCAAGUCCUCAUGGCCCUUAUGUCUGGGGCUACACACGUGCUACAAUGGCGUUUACAGAGGGCAGCGAGACCGCAAGGUGGAGCAAAUCCCAAAAAGGACGCCUC
Molecule: ribosomal RNA, 504 nt
Filed under: uncultured bacterium
Lineage: Bacteria
Description: bacterial SSU rRNA
Rfam family: Bacterial small subunit ribosomal RNA
Source: RNAcentral